RNAcentral lists this ribosomal RNA (497 nucleotides) under uncultured bacterium. RNAcentral's name for it is "partial 16S ribosomal RNA". It matches the Rfam family "Bacterial small subunit ribosomal RNA", at positions 28 to 507 of the family's 1533-position model. The record is from RNAcentral.
GAUGAACGCUGGCGGCGUGCCUAAUACAUGCAAGUCGAGCGAACAGACGAGGAGCUUGCUCCUCUGACGUUAGCGGCGGACGGGUGAGUAACACGUGGAUAACCUACCUAUAAGACUGGGAUAACUUCGGGAAACCGGAGCUAAUACCGGAUAAUAUAUUGAACCGCAUGGUUCAAUAGUGAAAGACGGUUUUGCUGUCACUUAUAGAUGGAUCCGCGCCGCAUUAGCUAGUUGGUAAGGUAACGGCUUACCAAGGCGACGAUGCGUAGCCGACCUGAGAGGGUGAUCGGCCACACUGGAACUGAGACACGGUCCAGACUCCUACGGGAGGCAGCAGUAGGGAAUCUUCCGCAAUGGGCGAAAGCUUGACGGAGCAACGCCGCGUGAGUGAUGAAGGUCUUCGGAUCGUAAAACUCUGUUAUUAGGGAAGAACAAAUGUGUAAGUAACUAUGCGCGUCUUGACGGUACCUAAUCAGAAAGCCACGGCUAACUACGUG